UACGGAGGGUGCAAGCGUUAUCCGGAUUCACUGGGUUUAAAGGGUGCGUAGGUGGGCAGGUAAGUCAGUGGUGAAAUCUCCGGGCUUAACCCGGAAACUGCCAUUGAUACUAUCUGUCUUGAAUACCGUGGAGGUGAGCGGAAUAUGUCAUGUAGCGGUGAAAUGCUUAGAUAUGACAUAGAACACCAAUUGCGAAGGCAGCUUACUACGGGAACAUUGACACUGAGGCACGAAAGCGUGGGGAUCAAACAGG
This 253-nucleotide ribosomal RNA is filed under the name uncultured bacterium. RNAcentral's name for it is "partial 16S ribosomal RNA". It matches the Rfam family "Bacterial small subunit ribosomal RNA", at positions 524 to 776 of the family's 1533-position model. The record is from RNAcentral.